UUAAAUUGAGAGUUUGAUCAUGGCUCAGAUUGAACGCUGGCGGCAGGCCUAACACAUGCAAGUCGAGCGGAAACGAGUUAUCUGAACCUUCGGGGAACGAUAACGGCGUCGAGCGGCGGACGGGUGAGUAAUGCC
Molecule: ribosomal RNA, 135 nt
Filed under: Vibrio parahaemolyticus
Lineage: Bacteria; Pseudomonadati; Pseudomonadota; Gammaproteobacteria; Vibrionales; Vibrionaceae
Description: partial 16S ribosomal RNA
Rfam family: Bacterial small subunit ribosomal RNA
Source: RNAcentral